RNAcentral lists this ribosomal RNA (384 nucleotides) under uncultured bacterium. Its description in RNAcentral is "bacterial SSU rRNA". It matches the Rfam family "Bacterial small subunit ribosomal RNA", at positions 969 to 1375 of the family's 1533-position model. The record is from RNAcentral.
CCUUACCAACCCUUGACAUCCCGGGACCGGCCCAGAGAUGGGUCUUUCACUUCGGUGACUCGGUGACAGGUGCUGCAUGGCUGUCGUCAGCUCGUGUCGUGAGAUGUUCGGUUAAGUCCGGCAACGAGCGCAACCCACGUCUUUAGUUGCCAGCAGUUCGGCUGGGCACUCUAAAGAAACUGCCCGUGAUAAGCGGGAGGAAGGUGUGGAUGACGUCAAGUCCUCAUGGCCCUUACGGGUUGGGCUACACACGUGCUACAAUGGUGUCUACAGUGGGUUAAUCUCCAAAAGACAUCUCAGUUCGGAUUGUCGUCUGCAACUCGACAGCAUGAAGUCGGAAUCGCUAGUAAUCGCGUAACAGCAUGACGCGGUGAAUACGUUCCC